AUGAGAAACAAUUGGAUGAUAGUCCUGCCAAUUUCUAAGGGAAAUACUAAUGUUGAAGUGAUGUGUAUGCCUAACAAACUGAUGCAUUUUUUCGGUGGAAUCUUUAGUGAUGUUGUGGGAAGCCCAUACUAUGUUGCACCAGACGUUUUGCAGAAGCAUUAUGGACCUGAGGCUGGUAUGUGGAGUGUCGGGGUUAUUUUGUACAUUUUAUCAAGCGGGGUGCCACAAUUUUAG
Vicia faba (fava bean) is the source of this 234-nucleotide non-coding RNA. Lineage: Eukaryota; Viridiplantae; Streptophyta; Magnoliopsida; Fabales; Fabaceae. The record is from the annotation of a GenBank genome assembly.